Non-coding RNA from Xyrichtys novacula (pearly razorfish), 27547 nucleotides. The record is from the annotation of a GenBank genome assembly. Lineage: Eukaryota; Metazoa; Chordata; Actinopteri; Labriformes; Labridae.
UUUCGUUCCACCGGCACCACAUUUGCUCAGGCCAAUCUACACCCCAUGGCCAUUAAAAGUUAUUCAAAUCAUGACGCUGAACCCCACGGUUUAGGUUCUAGGGGGCGCCAAAGACAACCCUAAAAUCCACAUAUUUAAAAGUCUUAUAACUUUUUAUUUUUGUCCUCACUGGCCUCCAAGUUUUCUAGGAUGAUGCAAUGUCCAGCCAUCAACACAUUUGUGAAGGAAUUUUUACUCCCCAAAAGAGCGCCCCCCCAUGGCAGGAGAAAAAAGUCCAUUUUUUCACCUUUGUCCCCUAAGGUGAAAAUACAUAUUGUUGAGAUUCACGCCUAUACGCUUUGUCAUAUUGACACAAAAUUUGACAAUCACGUGCCUUGCCUGGUAUCAUUUUUUUUCAGCACAACCUCACCUGUGCGAAUUUACAGUUAUUUUAUCAUGUUGACAUACUGAAUUUACACAAUGGACCCAAAUUCACACACAAAACAUGAAAACCUGCAAAAACAUGCUAUUUACAUAUUUGACAAGAAUGCAGAGGCUCCUUUUGCCCCUGAAAAAAAUCAAAUUUCAAACACAACUUGACUGCUCAUUUCUCCAAAAGACAACCAUGAAGCUCCAUCCAAACCUGAAGCAGGCAGUUGGUGCAUGUGUACAGUAACCUGAGGGGAGUGAGGUGAGUGCUUCUGAGGAGAACAUGAGCAGUGAAGAUUCACCUUGGAGCUAGAACAGAGACAUGCACAUGAUUAUACAGGGGCAGGGGCUCAAGUUUUUUCCAGUCGUUUAUACAAUAUGGAAAUUAAUGUGAAAUUAAAACACAAAGUAUUAAUAGAAAGGUAAUGACUGUCCUAUGUAGGUGACAGUGAUAUCCAAUAUGCUAGGCACUCACGAGGCUGGCUGUGGCAAGUGUAAGUGAAAGCAACACGCACUGGCAGGAAGAACAGCAAACGCCGAUGAAGGAAAAGGGUCUUUGCAGUGAUGGGCGUUACCAGAGAGGGCGAUGGCCAGAGGACACAAAUGGGACGGGAAGGCAGCACGUUGGGGGGGGGGGGGGGCGCGACACGGCUCGGGCCCGCCAGUGCCCCAACGGGGUCCUAGUUUGUUAUUAGGGCCCGAGCGUAGCUGCUAAGCAGCUGCGAGAGCCCUCUUGUUCCUGCAUGUUUCCUUCUUUUGUUAUUAUUAUUAUUAGGGCCCGAGCCAGCUGCAGAGCAGCCGGGCGUAGGCCCUGUUAUUCCUGUAGGGGUUUUUCUUUGUUUCUUUCUUUCUUCUUUUUCCUCCCCUUUGAACUGGAAAAUGGCCCACUUCCCACUGGCGAAAACUCAGGAAAUUUGGCAGGACGACCGGGCCUGGUGAAAAAUUCGAUAUUCCGAAGUCGCCCAAACAAGAAAAUGCAAAAUGGCUCCAUAGCGCCCCCUAAGGUGAAAAUUCACACUAUUGACUGUCACGCCUGUACGCUUUGUCAAAAUGACACAAAAAUUGACACACACAUGUAUCUCAAUAAGAUCUACAAAAAAGUCAGUGCGGGCGUAUCUGUCAAAUGUACGGUUAAAGGGUUAUUUCGCAUUUUUUGCCGAUCCGCACACAUUGGAAUUUCGCUAACUCCUCCGAAGGCUUUCGUUCCACCGGCACCACAUUUGCUCAGGCCAAUCUACACCCCAUGGCCAUUAAAAGUUAUUCAAAUCAUGACGCUGCACCCCACGGUUUAGGUUCUAGGGGGCGCCAAAGAUAACCCUAAAAUCCACAUUUUUAAAAGUCUUAUAACUUUUUAUUUUUGCCCUCACUGGCCUCCAAGUUUUCUAGGAUGAUGCAAUGUCCAGCCAUCAACACAUUUGUGAAGGAAUUUUUACUCCCCAAAAGAGCGCCCCCCCAUGGCAGGAGAAAAAAGUCCAUUUUUUCUUGUCCCCUAAGGUGAAAAUACACAUUGUUGAGUGUCACGCCUGUACGCUUUGUCAAAAUGACACAAAAAUUGACACACACAUGUAUCUCAAUAAGAUCUACAAAAAAGUCCAUGCGCGCGUAUCUGUCUAAUGUACGGUUAAAGGGUUAUUCCGCAUUUUUUGCCGAUUCGCACACAUUGGAAUUUCGCUAACUCCUCCGAAGGCUUUCGUUCCACCGGCACCACAUUUGCUCAGGCCAAAUUACACCCCAUGGCCAUUAAAAGUUAUUCAAAUCAUGACGCUGCACCCCACGGUUUACGUUCUAGGGGGCGCCAAAGAUAACCCAAAAAUCCACAUUUUUAAAAGUCUUAUAACUUUUUAUUUUUGUCCUCACUGGCCUCCAAGUUUUCUAGGAUGAUGCAAUGUCCAGCCAUCAACACAUUUGUGAAGGAAUUUUUACUCCCUAAAAGAGCGCCCCCCCCAUGGCAGGAGAAAAAAGUCCAUUUUUUCUUGUCCCCUAAGGUGAAAAUACACAUUGUUGACUGUCACGCCUGUACGCUUUGGCAAAAUGACAGAAAAAUUGACACACACAUGUAUCUCAAUAAGAUCUACAAAAAAGUCCAUGAGCGCGUAUCUGUCAAAUGUACGGUUAAAGGGUUAUUCCACAUUUUUUGCCAAUUCGCACACAUUGGAAUUUCGCUAACUCCUCCUAAGGCUUUCGUCCCACUGACACCAAAUUUGCUCAGGCCAAUCUACACUCCAUGGCCAUUCAAAGUUGUAAAAAUCAUGACGCUGCACCCCACGGUUUACGUUUUAGGGGGCGCCAAAGAUGACCCAAAUAUACAUUACAGUAGACAAAGUAGUUUUGCCCACUGAGUGGCGCCAAAGGGACUUGUCUGUGGAGUCUGUGAGUCACUAUUGGCCGUUUUUGACUACUUUAGAUUUUACCUUUAUAUUUCCUCUUACAAAAUUUUUACCUUGCCUUGCCUGGUAUCAUUUUUUUCAGCACAACCUCACCUGUGUCAAUUUACAGUUAUUUUAUCAUUUUGACAUACUAUAUUUACACAUUGGACCCAAAUUCACACACAAAACAUAAAAUCCGAGUGGAAAAAAGUAACGUUUUUACUGUGAAAACCACAAAUAUGUGUGAUGAACUGUUUUUAAAACUUAAACUUCAAAUAAAAAUUGUAAACUUCAAAACAUAUGCAAAUUUUUAACAAAGAACAUAGUAAUUUACCUCUAUUUACAUCAAAAUGCAGGCAAUGGCCCAGGUGUUCUUUGUAAAAUUAUUUACAAAACACUGUAUAGUCUCACAAAUGUCACUUUUUAUUUAUGCCACUACAAAAAAACAUGAUGUAAAUGAUGCAUGAUGUAAAACAUGAUGUAAAAAACUUGUGUAGAUCCUCCUCUAUGUUAGUCCAUGUGUAAUUUUUCCAUAAUUCUUUGUUUUUUGCAGCAUUUUUGUUAGUGUAACUGCAGAUUGUGCUGACAGUGUCUAUGGCAAAAAAAAAAAAAAAACUGAAAAUGCCUCAACAUGAACCCCUGGUGGUCUCUGAGGGUGAAACCUGCUAACUGCUGCAGCUCUGUCAGCUUCAGUCUCCCAUGCAGAGCUCGGAGCGCAUGUGUGGCUCUGCACCCUUAGCAGCGUUGCUAACUCCUCAGUAUGGAAAGCCUGCUUCAUGUCAGAGUCUCUAAACUCCAGAAGAAGUCGAUAAAAGUCCCUUUCUUUCUAAAAAAAGUCGUUAGGGGGUCUGAAAAGUCAUUGAAUCUAACAACAAAGUCGCUAGGUUUGCAACUACGUGUCCCAGACUGCAUCCCUGCUGAGAGUCCCUCCCUCCCUUCUCAUAUUGCAGGAAGAACGUAAGCGCCCGCCCCUUGUCAAUCAGUCACCAUAUAAUUUUGGAUUGGUUGUUGUGGUGAAGUUUUCCACCAAUAGGAGAGAUGUUGUGGUGUGUUUUUUUUUUCCUUUGGCAAGCCUUUUCCGCCUGUAAGACCUGUCGCUAAUGUCUGCAUGCUAUGUUUUCCUGUCUCAUACAGCGCGAUCGAGCGCCGAACGUGAUCAAAAUAAGCAGAAAACAAGUAUCGCGGACAUAAUUUAUCAUAACUCUGGUUUUAUUUGGCCUAUCAACACAAUUUAAAAACUGGUAUAUAGGUUGAGGUCCUCACUUUUGAGAUAAGUUGAAACGGAGAGUCAACGAGGCUCCGUCUUGCAGCUACAUCCGGUUAAAUAUGUCAUGUGACUUGAACGCACACACACACACACACACACACACACACAGACACACACACGCACACACACACACUCAGAGUCUGGUUUUUAGCACCUGCAAAAACAUGCUAUUUACAUAUUUGACAAGAAUGCAGAGGCUCCUUUUGCCCCUGAAAAAAAUCUAAUUUCAAACACAACUUGACUGGUCAUUUCUCCAAAAGACAACCAUGAAGCUCCAUCCAAACCUGAAGCAGGCAGUUGGUGCAUGUGUACAGUAACCUGAGGGGAGUGAGGUGACUGCUUCUGAGGAGAACAUGAGCAGUGAAGAUUCACCUUAGAGCUAGAACAGAGACGUGCACAUGAUUAUACAGGGGCAGGGGCUCAAGUUUUUUCCAGUUGUUUAUACAAUAUGGAAAUUAAUGUGAAAUUAAAAAACAAAGUAUUAAUAGAAAGGUAAUGACUGUCCUGUGUAGGUGACAGUGAUAUCCAAUAGGCUAGGCACUCACGAGGCUGGCUGUGGCAAGUGUAAGUGAAAGCAACACGCACUGACAGGAAGAACAGCAAACGCCGAUGAAGGAAAAGGGUCUUUGCAGUGAUGGGCGUUACCAGAGAGGGCGAUGGCCAGAGGACACAAAUGGGACGGGGAGGCAGCGCGUUGGGGGGGGGGACGCGACACAGCUCGGGCCCGCCAGUGCCCCAACGGGGUCCUAGUGUUAUUAUUAUUAUUUUUCCUCCGCUUUAAACUGGAAAAUGGCCCACUUCCCACUGGCGAAAACUCAUGAAAUUUGGCAGGACGACCGGGCCUGGUGAAAAAUUCGAUAUUCUUAAGUCGCCCAAACAAUAAAAUGCAAAAUGGCUCCAUAGCGCCCCCUAAGGUGAAAAUUCACACUAUUGACUGUCAUGCCUGUACGCUUUGUCAAAAUGACACAAAAAUUGACACACACAUGUAUCUCAAUAAGAUCUACAAAAAAGUCAGUGCGGGCGUAUCUGUCAAAUGUACGGUUAAAGGGUUAUUUCGCAUUUUUUGCAGAUCCCCACACAUUGGAAUUUCGCUAACUCCUCUGAAGACUUUCGUUCCACCAGCACCACAUUUGCUCAGGCCAAUCUACACCCCAUGGCCAUUAAAAGUUGUACAAAUCAUGACGCUGCACCCCACGGUUUAGGUUCUAGGGGGCGCCAAAGAUAACCCAAAAAUCCACAUUCUUUAAAGUCUUAUAACUUUUUAUUUUUGUCCUCACUGGCCUCCAAGUUCUCUAGGAUGAUGCAAUGUCCAGCCAUCAACACAUUUGUAAAGGAACUUUUACUCCCCAAAAGAGCGCCCCCCCAUGGCAGGAGAAAAAAGUUAAUUUUUUCUUGUCCCCUAGGGUGAAAAUACACAUUGUUCAGUGUCACGCCUGUACGCUUUGUCAUAUUGACACAAAAUUUGACAAUCACGUGUAUCUCAAUAAGAUCUACGAAAAAGUCAAUGCGCACGUAUCUGUAAAAUGUACGGUUAAAGGGCUAUUUCGCAUUUUUUGCCGAUUCGCACACAUUGGAAUGUGGCUAACUCCUCCUAAAGCUUUCGUCCCAUCGGCACCAAAUUUGCUCAGGCCAAUCUACACCCCAUGUCCAUUCAAAGUUGUACAAAUCAUGACGCUGCACUCCACGGUUUACGUUCAAGGGGGCGCCAAAUAUCCACAAUUUCAAAAGUCUUAUAACUUUUUGUUUUUGUCCUCACUGGCCUCCAAGUUUUCUAGGAUAAUGCAAUGUUCAGCCAUCAACACAUUUGUGAAAGAAUUUUUUCUCCCCAAACGAGCGCCCCCCCAUGGCAGGAGAAAAAGUUAAGUUUUUCCUGCCCAUCGCCCAAUGGCUCAAACGCAUCGCUCUCUCGGCAAAACCGAAAGGAGGAGCAACUUGCCAUUUGGAUAUAUUGAAGCUGUGUUUGUGCCCUCACUCAUGGUCCAGACUUUUUUCAAAAAGGACAUGGAGUUUGUCUGCAGCGAGCGUUUUGGUAGAAACUGCGCCUCCCAUUCAUUAUAAUGGUAAAUGACCACAGACAAGUGCGCACACCAUCUUUGGACCUUGAGUGUGACUCGAUCGGGAGGGGGAGGGGGUCGCGCUGGGGGCAGCACGACACGGCUCGGGCCCGCCAGUGCCCCAGCGGGGCCCUAGUUAUUUUUCUGCCCCUUUGAACUGGAAAAUGGCCCACUUCCCACUGGUGAAAAGUCAUGAAAUUUGGCAGGACGACCGGGCCUGGUGAAAAAUUCGAUAUUCUGAAGUCGCCCAAAAAAUCAAAUGCAAAAUGGCUCCAUAACGCCCCCUAAGGUGAAAAAUUCACAUGAUUGAGUGUCACGCCUGUACGCUUUGUCAAAAUGACACAAAAUUUGACACACACGUGUAUCUCAAUAAGAUCUACAAAAAAGUCAGUGCGGGCGUAUCUGUCAAAUGUACGGUUAAAGGGCUAUUUCGCAUUUUUUGCCGAUCCGCACACAUUGGAAUUUCGCUAACUCCUCCGAAGGCUUUCGUUCCACCGGCACCAAAUUUGCUCAGGCCAAUCUACACCCCAUGGCCAUUAAAAGUUGUACAAAUCAUGACGCUGCAUCCCACGGUUUACGUUCUAGGGGGCGCCAAAGAUAAACCAGAAAUCCACAUUCUUAAAAGUCGUAUAACUUUUUAUUUUUGUCCUCACUGGCCUCCAAGUUUUCUAGGAUGAUGCAAUGUCUAGCCAUCAACACAUUUGUGAAGGAAUUUUUACUCCCCAAAGGAGCGCCCCCCCAUGGCAGGAGAAAAAAGUCCAGUUUUUCUUCCCCCUAAGGUGAAAAUUCACAUUAUUGAGUGUCACGCCUGUACGCUUUGUCAUAUUGAAACAAACUUUGACAAUCACGUGUUUCUCAAUAAGGUCUACGAAAUAGUCAAUGGCCGCGUAUCUGUAUAAUGUACGGUUAAAGGGCUAUUUCGCAUUUUUGGUCGAUCCGCACACAUUGGAAUGUGGCUAACUCCUCCUAAAUCUUUCGUUCCACUGACACCAAAUUUACUCAGGCCAAUCUACACCCCAUGGCCAUUCAAAGUUGUAAAAAUCAUGACGCUGCACCCCACGGUUUAUGUUCUAGGGGGCGCCAAAGAUAACCCAAAAAUCCACAUUCUUAAAAGUCUUAUAACUUUUUAUUUUUGUCCUCACUGGCCUCCAAGUUUUCUAGGAUGAUGCAAUGUCUAGCCAUCAACACAUUUGUGAAGGAAUUUUUACUCCCUAAAAGAGCGCCCCCCAUGGCAGGAGAAAAAGUCAAGUUUUUCCUGCCCAUCGCUCAAUGACUCAAACACAUCGCUCUCUCGGCAAAACCGAAAGGAGGAGCAACUUGCCAUUUGGAUAUAUCCUAGCUGUGUUUGUGCCCUCACUCAUGGUCCAGUCCUUUUCAAAUAGGACAUGUAGUUUGUCUGCGGCGAGCGUUUUGGUAGAAACUGCGCCUCCCAUUCAUUAUAAUUGUAAAUGACCACAGACAAGUGCGCACACCAUCUUUGGACCUUGAGUGUGACGCGAUCGGUAGGGAGAGGCGGUCGUGUUGGGGGCGGCGCGACACGGCUCGGGCCCGCCAGUGCCCCAACUGGGCCCUAGUUCUUUCUUUCUUUCUUCGUUUUCCUCCCCUUUGAACUGGAAAAUGGCCCACUUCCCACUGGCAAAAACUCAUGAAAUUUGGCAGGACGACCGGGCCUGGUGAAAAAUUCGAUAUUCUGAAGUCGCCCAAACAAUAAAAUGCAAAAUGGCUCCAUAGCGCCCCCUAAGGUGGAAAUUCACACUAUUGACUGUCACGCCUGUACGCUUUGUCAUAUUGACACAAAAAUUGACACACAUAUGUAUCUCAAUAAGAUCUACAAAAAAGUCAGUGCGGCCGUAUCUGUCAAAUGUACGGUUAAAGGGUUAUUUCGCAUUUUUUUCCGAUCCGCACACAUUGGAAUUUCGCUAACUCCUCCGAAGGCUUUCGUUCCACCGGCACCACAUUUGCUCAGGCCAAUCUACACCCCGUGGCCAUUAAAAGUUAUCAAAAUCAUGACGCUGCACCCCAAGGUUUAGGUUCUAGGGGGCGCCAAAGAUAACACUAAAAUCCACAUAUUUAAAAGUCUUAUAACUUUUUAUUUUUGUCCUCACUGGCCUCCAAGUUUUCUAGGAUGAUGCAAUGUCCAGCCAUCAACACAUUUGUGAAGGAAUUUUUACUCCCCAAAAGAGCGCCCCCCCAUGGCAGGAGAAAAAAGUCCAUUUUUUCUUGUCCCCUAAGGUGAAAAUACACAUUGUUGAGUGUCACGCCUAUACGCUUUGUCAAAAUGACACAAAAAUUGACACACACAUGUAACUCAAUAAGAUCUACGAAAAAGUCAAUGCGCGCGUAUCUGUCAAAUGUACGGUUAAAGGGCUAUUUCGCAUUUUUUGCCAAUUCGCACACAUUGGAUUGUGGCUAACUCCUCCUAAAGCUUUCGUCCCAUCGGCACCAAAUUUGCUCAGGCCAAUCUACACCCCAUGGCCAUUAAAAGUUAUUCAAAUCAUGACGCUGCACCCCACGGUUUAGGUUCUAGGGGGCGCCAAAGACAACCCUAAAAUCCACAUAUUUAAAAGUCUUAUAACUUUUUAUUUUUGUCCUCACUGGCCUCCAAGUUUUCUAGGAUGAUGCAAUGUCCAGCCAUCAACACAUUUGUGAAGGAAUUUUUACUCCCCAAAAGAGCGCCCCCCCCAUGGCAGGAGAAAAAAGUCCAUUUUUUCUUGUCCCCUAAGGUGAAAAUACAUAUUGUUGAGAUUCACGCCUAUACGCUUUGUCAUAUUGACACAAAAUUUGACAAUCACGUGCCUUGCCUGGUAUCAUUUUUUUUCAGCACAACCUCACCUGUGCGAAUUUACAGUUAUUUUAUCAUGUUGACAUACUGAAUUUACACAAUGGACCCAAAUUCACACACAAAACAUAAAAUCCGAGUGGAAAAAAGUAACAUUUUUACUGUGAAAACCACAAAUAUGUGUGAUGAACUGUUUUUAAAACUUAAACUUCAAAUAAAAAUUGUGAACUUCAAAACAUAUGCAAAUUUUUAACAAAGAACAUAGUGAUUUACCUCUAUUUACAUCAAAAUGCAGGCAAUGGCCCAGGCGUUCUUUGUAAAAUUAUUUACAAAACACUGUAUAGUCUCACAAAUGUCACUUUUUAUUUAUGCCACUACAAAAAAACAUGAUGUAAAUGAUGCAUGAUGUAAAACAUGAUGUAAAAAACUUGUGUAGAUCCUCCUCUAUGUCAGUCCAUGUGUAAUUUUUCCAUAAUUCUUUGUUUUUUGCAGCAUUUUUGUUAGUGUAACUGCAGAUUGUGCUGACAGUGUCUAUGGCACAAAAAAAAAAAAACUAAAAUGCCUCAACAUGAACCCCUGGUGGUCUCUGAGGGUGAAACCUGCUAACUGCUGCAGCUCUGUCAGCUUCAGUCUCCCAUGCAGAGCUCUGAGCGCAUGUGUGGCUCUGCACCCUUAGCAGCGUUGCUAACUCCUCAGUAAGGAAAGCCUGCUUCAUGUCAGAGUCUCUAAACUCCAGAAGAAGUCGAUAAAAGUCCCUUUCUUUCUAAAAAAAAGUCGUUAGGGGGUCUGAAAAGUCAUUGAAUCUAACAACAAAGUCGCUAGGUUUGCAACUACGUGUCCCAGACUGCAUCCCUGCUGAGAGUCCCUCCCUCCCUUCUCAUGUUGCAGGAAGAACGUAAGCGCCCGCCCCUUGUCAAUCAGUCACCAUAUAAUUUUGGAUUGGUUGUUGUGGUGAAGUUUUCCACCAAUAGGAGAGAUGUUGUGGUGUGUUUUUUUUUUCUUUGGCAAGCCUUUUCCGCCUGUAAGACCUGUCGCUAAUGUCUGCAUGCUAUGUUUUCCUGUCUCAUACAGCGCGAUCGAGCGCCGAACGUGAUCAAAAUAAGCAGAAAAAAGUAUCGCGGACAUAAUUUAUCAUAACUCUGGUUUUAUUUGGCCUAUCAACACAAUUUAAAAACUGGUAUAUAGGUUGAGGUCCUCACUUUUGAGAUAAGUUGAAACGGAGAGUCAACGAGGCUCCGUCUUGCAGCUACAUCCGGUUAAAUAUGUCAUGUGACUUGAACGCACACACAGACACACACACACGCACACACACACACACACACACACACACACACACACACACACACACACUCAGAGUCUGGUUUUUAGCACCUGCAAAAACAUGCUAUUUACAUAUUUGACAAGAAUGCAGAGGCUCCUUUUGCCCCUGAAAAAAAUCAAAUUUCAAACACAACUUGACUGGUCAUUUCUCCAAAAGACAACCAUGAAGCUCCAUCCAAACCUGAAGCAGGCAGUUGGUGCAUGUGUACAGUAACCUGAGGGGAGUGAGGUGAGUGCUUCUGAGGAGAACAUGAGCAGUGAAGAUUCACCUUGGAGCUAGAACAGAGACAUGCACAUGAUUAUACAGGGGCAGGGGCUCAAGUUUUUUCCAGUCGUUUAUACAAUAUGGAAAUUAAUGUGAAAUUAAAACACAAAGUAUUAAUAGAAAGGUAAUGACUGUCCUGUGUAGGUGACAGUGAUAUCGAAUAGGCUAGGCACUCACGAGGCCGGCUGUGGCAAGUGUUAGUGAAAGCAACACGCACUGGCAGGAAGAACAGCAAACGCCGAUGAAGGAAAAGGGUCUUUGCAGUGAUGGGCGUUACUAGAGAGGGCGAUGGCCAGAGGACACAAAUGGGACGGGGAGGCAGCGCGUUGGGGGGGCGACACAGCUCGGGCCCGCCAGUGCCCCAACGGGGUCCUAGUUCUUUGUUUCUUUCUUUCUUUCUUUAGGGCCCGCCGUAGCUGCUGCAGCUGCGAGAGCCCUCUUGUUCCUGUAGUCCUUCUUUGUUAUUAUUAUUAGGGCCCGAGCGUAGCUGCUAAGCAGCUGCGAGAGCCCUCUUGUUCCUGUAGUUUCCUUCUUUUGUUAUUAUUAUUAUUUUUCCUCCCCUUUGAACUGGAAAAUGGCCCACUUCCCACUGGCGAAAACUCAUGAAAUUUGGCAGGACGACCGGGCCUGGUGAAAAAUUUGAUAUUCCGAAGUCGCCCAAACAAGAAAAUGCAAAAUGGCUCCAUAGCGCCCCCUAAGGUGAAAAUUCACACUAUUCACUGUCACGCCGGUACGCUUUGUCAAAAUGACACAAAAAUUGACACACACAUGUAUCUCAAUAAGAUCUACAAAAAAGUCAGUGCGGGCGUAUCUGUCAAAUGUACGGUUAAAGGGUUAUUUCGCAUUUUUUGCCGAUCCGCACACAUUGGAAUUUCGCUAACUCCUCCGAAGGCUUUCGUUCCACCGGCACCACAUUUGCUCAGGCCAAUCUACACCCCAUGGCCAUUAAAAGUUAUUCAAAUCAUGACGCUGCACCCCACGGUUUAGGUUCUAGGGGGCGCCAAAGAUAACCCUAAGAUCCACAUAUUUAAAAGUCUUAUAACUUUUUAUUUUUGCCCUCACUGGCCUCCAAGUUUUCUAGGAUGAUGCAAUGUCCAGCCAUCAACACAUUUGUGAAGGAAUUUUUACUCGCCAAAAGAGCGCCCCCCCAUGGCAGGAGAAAAAAGUCCAUUUUUUCUUGUCUCCUAAGGCGAAAAUACACAUUGUUGACUGUCACGCCUUUACGCUUUGUCAAAAUGACACAAAAUUUGACACACACAUGUAUCUCAAUAAGAUCUACGAAAAAGUCAAUGCGAGCGUAUCUGUUCAAUGUACGGUUAAAGGGCUAUUUCGCAUUUUUUGCCGAUUCGCACACAUUGGAAUGUGGCUAACUCCUCCUAAAGCUUUUGUCCCAUCGGCUUCAAAUUUGGUCAGGUCAAUCUACACCCCAUGGCCAUUCAAAGUUGUACAAAUCAUGACGCUGCACCCCACGGUUUACGUUCUAGGGGGCGCCAAAGAUGACCCAAAUAUACAUUACAGUAGACAAAGUAGUUUUGCCCACUGAGUGGCGCCAAAGGGACUUGUCUGUGGAGUCUGUGAGUCACUAUUGGCCGUUUUUGACUACUUUAGAUUUUACCUUUAUAUUCCCUCUUACAAAAUUUUUACCUUGCCUUGCCUGGUAUCAUUUUUUUCAGCACAAACUCACCUGUGUGAAUUUACAGUUAUUUUAUCAUUUUGACAUACUGUAUUUACACAAUGGACCCAAAUUCACACACAAAACAUAAAAUCCGAGUGGAAAAAAGUAACAUUUUUACUCUGAAAACCACAAAUAUGUGUGAUGAACUGUUUUUAAAACUUAAACUUCAAAUAAAAAUUGUAAACUUCAAAACAUAUGCAAAUUUUUAACAAAGAACAUAGUAAUUUACCCCUAUUUACAUCAAAAUGCAGGCAAUGGCCCAGGCGUUCUUUGUAAAAUUAUUUACAAAACACUGUAUAGUCUCACAAAUGUCACUUUUUAUUUAUGCCACUACAAAAAAACAUGAUGUAAAUGAUGCAUGAUGUAAAACAUGAUGUAAAAAACUUGUGUAGAUCCUCCUCUAUGUCAGUCCAUGUGUAAUUUUUCCAUAAUUCUUUGUUUUUUGCAGCAUUUUUGUUAGUGUAACUGCAGAUUGUGCUGACAGUGUCUAUGGCAAAAAAAAAAAAAAAACUGAAAAUGCCUCAACAUGAACCCCUGGUGGUCUCUGAGGGUGAAACCUGCUAACUGCUGCAGCUCUGUCAGCUUCAGUCUCCCAAGCAGAGCUCGGAGCGCAUGUGUGGCUCUGCACCCUUAGCAGCGUUGCCAACUCCUCAGUAAGGAAAGCCUGCUUCAUGUCAGAGUCUCUAAACUCCAGAAGAAGUCGAUAAAAUUCCCUUUCUUUCUAAAAAAAAAGUCGUUGGGGGUCUGAAAAGUCAUUGAAUCUAACAACAAAGUCGCUAGGUUUGCAACUACGUGUCCCAGACUGCAUCCCUGCUGAGAGUCCCUCCCUCCCUUCUCAUAUUGCAGGAAGAACGUAAGCGCCCGCCCCUUGUCAAUCAGUCACCAUAUAAUUUUGGAUUGGUUGUUGUGGUGAAGUUUUCCACCAAUAGGAGAGAUGUUGUGGUGUGUUGUUUUUUUUCUUUUGGCAAGCCUUUUCCGCCUGUAAGACCUGUCGCUAAUGUCUGCAUGCUAUGUUUUCCUGUCUCAUACAGCGCGAUCGAGCGCCGAACGUGAUCAAAAUAAGCAGAAAAAAAGUAUCGCGGACAUAAUUUAUCAUAACUCUGGUUUUAUUUGGCCUAUCAACACAAUUUAAAAACUGGUAUAUAGGUUGAGGUCCUCACUUUUGAGAUAAGUUGAAACGGAGAGUCAACGAGGCUCCGUCUUGCAGCUACAUCCGGUUAAAUAUGUCAUGUGACUUGAACGCACACACAGACACACACACACGCACACACACACACACACACACACACACACACACACACACACACACACACACUCAGAGUCUGGUUUUUAGCACCUGCAAAAACAUGCUAUUUACAUAUUUGACAAGAAUGCAGAGGCUCCUUUUGCCCCUGAAAAAAAUCAAAUUUCAAACACAACUUGACUGGUCAUUUCUCCAAAAGACAACCAUGAAGCUCCAUCCAAACCUGAAGCAGGCAGUUGGUGCAUGUGUACAGUAACCUGAGGGGAGUGAGGUGAGUGCUUCUGAGGAGAACAUGAGCAGUGAAGAUUCACCUUGGAGCUAGAACAGAGACAUGCACAUGAUUAUACAGGGGCAGGGGCUCAAGUUUUUUCCAGUCGUUUAUACAAUAUGGAAAUUAAUGUGAAAUUAAAACACAAAGUAUUAAUAGAAAGGUAAUAACUGUCCUGUGAAGGUGACAGUGAUAUCGAAUAGGCUAGGCACUCACGAGGCUGGCUGUGGCAAGUGUAAGUGAAAGCAACACGCACUGGCAGGAAGAACAGCAAACGCCGAUGAAGGAAAAGGGUCUUUGCAGUGAUGGGCGUUACCAGAGAGGGCGAUGGCCAGAGGACACAAGUGGGACGGGGAGGCAGCACGUUGGGGGGGGGGGGGGGCGACACGGCUCGGGCCCGCCAGUGCCCCAACGGGGUCCUAGUUAGGGCCCGAGCGUAGCUGCUAAGCAGCUGCGAGAGCCCUCUUGUUCCUGUAGUUUCCUUCUUUUGUUAUUAUUAUUAUUAUUUUUCCUCCCCUUUGAACUGGAAAAUGGCCCACUUCCCACUGGCGAAAACUCAUGAAAUUUGGCAGGACGACCAGGCCUGGUGAAAAAUUUGAUAUUCCGAAGUCGCCCAAACAAGAAAAUGCAAAAUGGCUCCAUAGCGCCCCCUAAGGUGAAAAUUCACACUAUUCACUGUCACGCCGGUACGCUUUGUCAAAAUGACACAUAAAUUGACACACACAUGUAUCUCAAUAAGAUCUACAAAAAAGUCAGUGUGGGCGUAUCUGUCAAAUGUACGGUUAAAGGGUUAUUUCGCAUUUUUUGCCGAUCCGCACACAUUGGAAUUUCGCUAACUCCUCCGAAGGCUUUCGUUCCACCGGCACCACAUUUGCUCAGGCCAAUCUACACCCCAUGGCCAUUAAAAGUUAUUCAAAUCAUGACGCUGCACCCCACGGUUUAGGUUCUAGGGGGCGCCAAAGAUAACCCUAAGAUCCACAUAUUUAAAAGUCUUAUAACUUUUUAUUUUUGCCCUCACUGGCCUCCAAGUUUUCUAGGAUGAUGCAAUGUCCAGCCAUCAACACAUUUGUGAAGGAAUUUUUACUCCCCAAAAGAGCGCCCCCCCAUGGCAGGAGAAAAAAGUCAAUUUUUUCUUGUCCCCUAAGGUGAAAAUACACAUUGUUGAGUGUAACACCUGUACGCUUUGGCAAAAUGACACAAAAAUUGACACACACAUGUAUCUCAAUAAGAUCUACGAAAAAGUCAAUGCGCGCGUAUCUGUCAAAUGUACGGUUAAAGGGUUAUUCCGCAUUUUUUGCCGAUCCGCACACAUUGGAAUGUGGCUAACUCCUCCUAAGGCUUUCGUUCCACCGGCACCACAUUUGCUCAGGCCAAUCUACACCCCGUGGCCAUUAAAAGUUAUCAAAAUCAUGACGCUGCACCCCAAGGUUUAGGUUCUAGGGGGCGCCAAAGAUAACACUAAAAUCCACAUAUUUAAAAGUCUUAUAACUUUUUAUUUUUGUCCUCACUGGCCUCCAAGUUUUCUAGGAUGAUGCAAUGUCCAGCCAUCAACACAUUUGUGAAGGAAUUUUUACUCCCCAAAAGAGCGCCCCCCCAUGGCAGGAGAAAAAAGUCCAUUUUUUCUUGUCCCCUAAGGUGAAAAUACACAUUGUUGAGUGUCACGCCUGUACGCUUUGUCAUAUUGACACAAAAUUUGACAAUCACGUGUGUCUCAAUAACAUCUACGAAAAAGUCAAUGCACGCGUAUCUGUCAAAUGUACGGUUAAAGGGCUAUUUUGCAUUUUUUGCCGAUUCGCACACAUUGGAAUGUGGCUAACUCCUCCUAAGGCUUUCAUCCCACUGACACCAAAUUUGCUCAGGCCAAUCUACACCCCAUGGCCAUUAAAAGUUGUAAAAAUCAUGACGGUGCACCCCACGGUUUACGUUCUAGGGGGCGCCAAAGAUGACCCAAAUAUCCACAUUCUUAAAAGAAUCCACAUCUCCCCCCCCCCCCCCAUCCCCCAUCCCCCAUGGCAGGAGAAACAGUCAAGUUUUUCCUGCCCAUCACUCAAUGGCUCAAUCGCAUCGCUCUCCCGGCAACACCGUAACGAGGAGCAACUUGCCGUUUGGAUAUAUCCUAGCUGUGUUUGUGCCCUCACUCAUGGUCCAGACUUUUUUCAAAUAGGAUAUGUAGUUUGUCUGCAGCGAGUGUUUUGGUAGAAACUGCGCCUCCCAUUCAUUAUAAUGGGAAAUGACCACAGACAAGUGCGCACACCAUCUUUGGACCUUGAGUGUGACGCGAUCGGGAGGGGGAGGUGGUCGCGCUGGGGGCGGCGCGACGCGGCUCGGGCCCGACAGUGCCCCACCGGGGCCCUAGUUCUUCUUUUUCCUCCCCUUUGAACUGGAAAAUGGCCCACUUCCCACUGGCGAAAACUCAUGAAAUUUGGCAGGACGACCGGGCCUGGUGAAAAAUUCGAUAUUCUGAAGUCGCCCAAACAAUAAAAUGCAAAAUGGCUCCAUAGCGCCCCCUAAGGUGGAAAUUCACACUAUUGACUGUCACGCCUGUACGCUUUGUCAUAUUGACACAAAAAUUGACACACAUAUGUAUCUCAAUAAGAUCUACAAAAAAGUCAGUGCGGCCGUAUCUGUCAAAUGUAUGGUCAAAGGGUUAUUUCGCAUUUUUUUCCGAUCCGCACACAUUGGAAUUUCGCUAACUCCUCCGAAGGCUUUCUUUCCACCGGCACCACAUUUGCUCAGGCCAAUCUACACCCCGUGGCCAUUAAAAGUUAUCAAAAUCAUGACGCUGCACCCCAAGGUUUAGGUUCUAGGGGGCGCCAAAGAUAACACCAAAAUCCACAUAUUUAAAAGUCUUAUAACUUUUUAUUUUUGUCCUCACUGGCCUCCAAGUUUUCUAGGAUGAUGCAAUGUCCAGCCAUCAACACAUUUGUGAAGGAAUUUUUACUCCCCAAAAGAGCGCCCCCCCAUGGCAGGAGAAAAAAGUCAAUUUUUUCUUGUCCCCUAAGGUGAAAAUACACAUUGUUGAGUGUCACGCCUAUACGCUUUGUCAAAAUGACACAAAAAUUGACACACACAUGUAACUCAAUAAGAUCUACGAAAAAGUCAAUGCGCGCGUAUCUGUCAAAUGUACGGUUAAAGGGUUAUUCCGCAUUUUUUGCCGAUCCGCACACAUUGGAAUGUGGCUAACUCCUCCUAAGGCUUUCGUUCCACCGGCACCACAUUUGCUCAGGCCAAUCUACACCCCAUGGCCAUUAAAAUUUAUCAAAAUCAUGACGCUGCACCCCACGGUUUAGGUUCUAGGGGGCGCCAAAGAUAACCCUAAAAUCCACAUAUUUAAAAGUCUUAUAACUUUUUAUUUUUGUCCUCACUGGCCUCCAAGUUUUCUAGGAUGAUGCAAUGUCCAGCCAUCAACACAUUUGUGAAGGAAUUUUAACUCCCCAAAAGAGCGCCCCCCCAUGGCAGGAGAAAAAAGUCCAUUUUUUCUUGUCCCUUAAGGUGAAAAUACAUAUUGUUGAGAUUCACGCCUAUACGCUUUGUCAUAUUGACACAAAAUUUGACAAUCACGUGCCUUGCCUGGUAUCAUUUUUUUCAGCACAACCUCACCUGUGCGAAUUUACAGUUAUUUUAUCAUGUUGACAUACUGAAUUUACACAAUGGACCCAAAUUCACACACAAAACAUAAAAUCCGAGUGGAAAAAAGUAACAUUUUUACUGUGAAAACCACAAAUAUGUGUGAUGAACUGUUUUCAAAACUUAAACUUCAAAUAAAAAUUGUAAACUUCAAAACAUAUGCAAAUUUUUAACAAAGAACAUAGUGAUUUACCUCUAUUUACAUCAAAAUGCAGGCAAUGGCCCAGGCGUUCUUUGUAAAAUUAUUUACAAAACACUGUAUAGUCUCACAAAUGUCACUUUUUAUUUAUGCCACUACAAAAAAACAUGAUGUAAAUGAUGCAUGAUGUAAAACAUGAUGUAAAAAACUUGUGUAGAUCCUCCUCUAUGUCAGUCCAUGUGUAAUUUUUCCAUAAUUCUUUGUUUUUUGCAGCAUUUUUGUUAGUGUAACUGCAGAUUGUGCUGACAGUGUCUAUGGCACAAAAAAAAGAAAAAAUUAAAAUGCCUCAACAUGAACCCCUGGUGGUCUCUGAGGGUGAAACCUGCUAACUGCUGCAGCUCUGUCAGCUUCAGUCUCCCAUGCAGAGCUCUGAGCGCAUGUGUGGCUCUGCACCCUUAGCAGCGUUGCUAACUCCUCAGUAAGGAAAGCCUGCUUCAUGUCAGAGUCUCUAAACUCCAGAAGAAGUCGAUAAAAGUCACUUUCUUUCUAAAAAAAAGUCGUUAGGGGGUCUGAAAAGUCAUUGAAUCUAACAACAAAGUCGCUAGGUUUGCAACUACGUGUCCCAGACUGCAUCCCUGCUGAGAGUCCCUCCCUCCCUUCUCAUGUUGCAGGAAGAACGUAAGCGCCCGCCCCUUGUCAAUCAGUCACCAUAUAAUUUUGGAUUGGUUGUUGUGGUGAAGUUUUCCACCAAUAGGAGAGAUGUUGUGGUGUGUUUUUUUUUUCUUUUGGCAAGCCUUUUCCGCCUGUAAGACCUGUCGCUAAUGUCUGCAUGCUAUGUUUUCCUGUCUCAUACAGCGCGAUCGAGCGCCGAACGUGAUCAAAAUAAGCAGAAAAAAAGUAUCGCGGACAUAAUUUAUCAUAACUCUGGUUUUAUUUGGCCUAUCAACACAAUUUAAAAACUGGUAUAUAGGUUGAGGUCCUCACUUUUGAAAUAAGUUGAAACGGAGAGUCAACGAGGCUCCGUCUUGCAGCUACAUCCGGUUAAAUAUGUCAUGUGACUUGAACGCACACACAGACACACACACACGCACACACACACACACACACACACACACACACACACACACACACAGAGUCUGGUUUUUAGCACCUGCAAAAACAUGCUAUAUACAUAUUUGACAAGAAUGCAGAGGCUCCUUUUGCCCCUGAAAAAAAUCAAAUUUCAAACACAACUUGACUGGUCAUUUCUCCAAAAGACAACCAUGAAGCUCCAUCCAAACCUGAAGCAGGCAGUUGGUGCAUGUGUACAGUAACCUGAGGGGAGUGAGGUGAGUGCUUCUGAGGAGAACAUGAGCAGUGAAGAUUCACCUUGGAGCUAGAACAGAGACAUGCACAUGAUUAUACAGGGGCAGGGGCUCAAGUUUUUUCCAGUCGUUUAUACAAUAUGGAAAUUAAUGUGAAAUUAAAACACAAAGUAUUAAUAGAAAGGUAAUGACUGUCCUGUGUAGGUGACAGUGAUAUCCAAUAGGCUAGGCACUCACGAGGCUGGCUGUGGCAAGUGUAAGUGAAAGCAACACGCACUGGCAAGAAGAACAGCAAACGCCGAUGAAGGAAAAGGGUCUUUGCAGUGAUGGGCGUUACCAGAGAGGGCGAUGGCCAGAGGACACAAAUGGGACGGGGAGGCAGCACGUUGGGGGGGGACGCGACAUGGCUCGGGCCCGCCAGUGCCCCAACGGGGUCCUAGUUAGGGCCCGAGCGUAGCUGCUAAGCAGCUGCGAGGCCCUAUUAUUCCUGUAGUGGUUUUUCUUUGUUUCUUUUUUCUUUUUCCUCCCCUUUGAACUGGAAAAUGGCCCACUUCCCACUGGCGAAAACUCAUGAAAUUUGGCAGGAUGACCGGGCCUGGUGAAAAAUUUGAUAUUCCGAAGUCGCCCAAACAAUAAAAUGCAAAAUGGCUCCAUAGCGCCCCCUAAGGUGAAAAUUCACACUAUUGACUGUCACGCCUUUACGCUUUGUCAAAAUGACACAAAAAUUGACACACACAUGUAUCUCAAUAAGAUCUACAAAAAAGUCAGUGCGGGCGUAUCUGUCAAAUGUACGGUUAAAGGGUUAUUGCGCAUUUUUUGCCGAUCCGCACACAUUGGAAUUUCGCUAACUCCUCCGAAGGCUUUUGUUCCACCGGCACCACAUUUGCUCAGGCCAAUCUACACCCCAUGGCCAUUAAAAGUUAUUCAAAUCAUGACGCUGCACCCCACGGUUUAGGUUCUAGGGGGCGCCAAAGAUAACCCUAAAAUCCACAUAUUUAAAAGUCUUAUAACUUUUUAUUUUUGCCCUCACUGGCCUCCAAGUUUUCUAGGAUGAUGCAAUGUCCAGCCAUCAACACAUUUGUGAAGGAAUUUUUACUCCCCAAAAGAGCGCCCCCCCAUGGCAGGAGAAAAAAGUCCAUUUUUUCUUGUCCCAUAAGGUGAAAAUUCACACUAUUGACUGUCACGCCUGUACGCUUUGUCAAAAUUACACAAAAAUUGACACACACAUGUAUCUCAAUAAGAUCUACAAAAAAGUCAGUGCGGGCGUAUCUGUCAAAUGUACGGUUAAAGGGUUAUUUCGCAUUUUUUGCCGAUCCGCACACAUUGGAAUUUCGCUAACUCCUCCGAAGGCUUUCGUUCCACCGGCACCACAUUUGCUCAGGCCAAUCUACACCCCAUGGCCAUUAAAAGUUAUUCAAAUCAUGACGCUGCACCCCACGGUUUAGGUUCUAGGGGGCGCCAAAGAUAACCCUAAAAUCCACAUAUUUCAAAGUCUUAUAACUUUUUAUUUUUGCCCUCACUGGCCUCCAAGUUUUCUAGGAUGAUGCAAUGUCCAGCCAUCAACACAUUUGUGAAGGAAUUUUUACUCCCCAAAAGAGCGCCCCCCAUGGCAGGAGAAAAAAGUCCAUUUUUUCUUGUCCCCUAAGGUGAAAAUACACAUUGUUGAGUGUCACGCCUGUACGCUUUGUCAAAAUGACACAAAAAUUGACACACACAUGUAUCUCAAUAAGAUCUACAAAAAAGUCCAUGCGCGCGUAUCUGUCAAAUGUACGGUUAAAGGGUUAUUCCGCAUUUUUUGCCGAUUCGCACACAUUGGAAUUUCGCUAACUCCUCCGAAGGCUUUUGUUCCACCGGCACCACAUUUGCUCAGGCCAAUCUACACCCCAUGGCCAUUAAAAGUUAUUCAAAUCAUGACGCUGCACCCCACGGUUUACGUUCUAGGGGGCGCCAAAGAUAACCCAAAAAUCCACAUUUUUAAAAGUCUUAUAACAUUUUAUUUUUGUCCUCACUGGCCUCCAAGUUUUCUAGGAUGAUGCAAUGUCCAGCCAUCAACACAUUUGUGAAGGAAUUUUUACUCCCUAAAAGAGCGCCCCCCCAUGGCAGGAGAAAAAAGUCCAUUUUUUCUUGUCCCCUAAGGUGAAAAUACACAUUGUUGACUGUCACGCCUGUACGCUUUGGCAAAAUGACACAAAAAUUGACAAUCAUGUGUAUCUCAAUUAGAUCUACGAAAAAGUCAAAGAGCGCGUAUCUGUAUAAUGUACGGUAAAAGGGCUAUUUUGCAUUUUUUGCCGAUUCGCACACAUUGGAAUUUCGCUAACUCCUCCUAAGGCUUUCGUCCCACUGACACCAAAUUUGCUCAGGCCAAUCUACACUCCAUGGCCAUUCAAAGUUGUAAAAAUCAUGACGCUGCACCCCACGGUUUACGUUUUAGGGGGUGCCAAAGAUGACCCAAAUAUACAUUACAGUAGACAAAGUAGUUUUGCCCACUGAGUGGCGCCAAAGGGACUUGUCUGUGGAGUCUGUGAGUCACUAUUGGCCGUUUUUGACUACUUUAGAUUUUACCUUUAUAUUUCCUCUUACAAAAGUUUUACCUUGCCUUGCCUGGUAUCAUUUUUUUCAGCACAACCUCACCUGUGUCAAUUUACAGUUAUUUUAUCAUUUUGACAUACUAUAUUUACACAUUGGACCCAAAUUCACACACAAAACAUAAAAUCCGAGUGGAAAAAAGUAACAUUUUUACUGUGAAAACCACAAAUAUGUGUGAUGAACUGUUUUUAAAACUUAAACUUCAAAUAAAAAUUGUAAACUUCAAAACAUAUGCAAAUUUUUAACAAAGAACAUAGUAAUUUACCUCUAUUUACAUCAAAAUGCAGGCAAUGGCCCAGGUGUUCUUUGUAAAAUUAUUUACAAAACACUGUAUAGUCUCACAAAUGUCACUUUUUAUUUAUGCCACUACAAAAAAACAUGAUGUAAAUGAUGCAUGAUGUAAAACAUGAUGUAAAAAACUUGUGUAUAUCCUCCUCUAUGUUAGUCCAUGUGUAAUUUUUCCAUAAUUCUUUGUUUUGUCCAGCAUUUUUGUUAGUGUAACUGCAGAUUGUGCUGACAGUGUCUAUGGCAAAAAAAAAAAAAAAACUGAAAAUGCCUCAACAUGAACCCCUGGUGGUCUCUGAGGGUGAAACCUGCUAACUGCUGCAGCUCUGUCAGCUUCAGUCUCCCAUGCAGAGCUCGGAGCGCAUGUGUGGCUCUGCACCCUUAGCAGCGUUGCUAACUCCUCAGUAAGGAAAGCCUGCUUCAUGUCAGAGUCUCUAAACUCCAGAAGAAGUCGAUAAAAGUCACUUUCUUUCUAAAAAAAAAGUCGUUAGGGGGUCUGAAAAGUCAUUGAAUCUAACAACAAAGUCGCUAGGUUUGCAACUACGUGUCCCAGACUGCAUCCCUGCUGAGAGUCCCUCCCUCCCUUCUCAUAUUGCAGGAAGAACGUAAGCGCCCGCCCCUUGUCAAUCAGUCACCAUAUAAUUUUGGAUUGGUUGUUGUGGUGAAGUUUUCCACCAAUAGGAGAGAUGUUGUGGUGUGUAUUUUUUUUCCUUUGGCAAGCCUUUUCCGCCUGUAAGACCUGUCGGUAAUGUCUGCAUGCUAUGUUUUCCUGUCUCAUACAGCGCGAUCGAGCGCCGAACGUGAUAAAAAUAAGCAGAAAACAAGUAUCGCGGACAUAAUUUAUCAUAACUCUGGUUUUAUUUGGCCUAUCAACACAAUUUAAAAACUGGUAUAUAGGUUGAGGUCCUCACUUUUGAGAUAAGUUGAAACGGAGUCAACGAGGCUCCGUCUUGCAGCUACAUCCGGUUAAAUAUGUCAUGUGACUUGAACGCACACACACACACACACACACACACACACACACACACACACACACACACACACACACACUCAGAGUCUGGUUUUUAGCACCUGCAAAAACAUGCUAUUUACAUAUUUGACAAGAAUGCAGAGGCUCCUUUUGCCCCUGAAAAAAAUCAAAUUUCAAACACAACUUGACUGCUCAUUUCUCCAAAAGACAACCAUGAAGCUCCAUCCAAACCUGAAGCAGGCAGUUGGUGCAUGUGUACAGUAACCUGAGGGGAGUGAGGUGAGUGCUUCUGAGGAGAACAUGAGCAGUGAAGAUUCACCUUGGAGCUAGAACAGAGACAUGCACAUGAUUAUACAGGGGCAGGGGCUCAAGUUUUUUCCAGUCGUUUAUACAAUAUGGAAAUUAAUGUGAAAUUAAAACACAAAGUAUUAAUAGAAAGGUAAUGACUGUCCUGUGUAGGUGACAGUGAUAUCGAAUAGGCUAGGCACUCACGAGGCUGGCUGUGGCAAGUGUAAGUGAAAGCAACACGCACUGGCAGGAAGAACAGCAAACGCCGAUGAAGGAAAAGGGUCUUUGCAGUGAUGGGCGUUACCAGAGAGGGCGAUGGCCAGAGGACACAAAUGGGACGGGGAGGCAGCGCGUUGGGGGGGGGACGCGACACAGCUCGGGCCCGCCAGUGCCCCAACGGGGUCCUAGUUCUUUCUUUCUUUCUUUCUUCUUUUUCCUCCCCUUUGAACUGGAAAAUGGCCCACUUCCCACUGGCGAAAACUCAUGAAAUUUGGCAGGACGACCGGGCCUGGUGAAAAAUUCGAUAUUCUGAAGUCGCCCAAACAAUAAAAUGCAAAAUGGCUCCAUAGCGCCCCCUAAGGUGGAAAUUCACACUAUUGACUGUCACGCCUGUACGCUUUGUCAUAUUGACACAAAAAUUGACACACAUAUGUAUCUCAAUAAGAUCUACAAAAAAGUCAGUGCGACCGUAUCUGUCAAAAUUACGGUUAAAGGGUUAUUUCGCAUUUUGUGCCGAUCCGCACACAUUGGAAUUUCGCUAACUCCUCCGAAGGCUUUCGUUCCACCGGCACCACAUUUGCUCAGGCCAAUCUACACCCCGUGGCCAUUAAAAGUUAUCAAAAUCAUGACGCUGCACCCCACGGUUUAGGUUCUAGGGGGCGCCAAAGAUAACACUAAAAUCCACAUAUUUAAAAGUCUUAUAACUUUUUAUUUUUGUCCUCACUGGCCUCCAAGUUUUCUAGGAUGAUGCAAUGUCCAGCCAUCAACACAUUUGUGAAGGAAUUUUUACUCCCCAAAAGAGCGCCCCCCAUGGCAGGAGAAAAAAGUCCAUUUUUUCUUGUCCCCUAAGGUGAAAAUACACAUUGUUGAGUGUCACGCCUAUACGCUUUGUCAAAAUGACACAAAAAUUGACACACACAUGUAUCUCAAUAAGAUCUACGAAAAAGUCAAUGCGCGCGUAUCUGUCAAAUGUACGGUUAAAGGGUUAUUCCGCAUUUUUUGCCGAUCCGCACACAUUGGAAUGUGGCUAACUCCUCCUAAGGCUUUCGUUCCACCGGCACCACAUUUGCUCAGGCCAAUCUACACCCCAUGGCCAUUAAAAGUUAUUCAAAUCAUGACGCUGCACCCCACGGUUAAGGUUCUAGGGGGCGCCAAAGACAACCCUAAAAUCCACAUAUUUAAAAGUCUUAUAACUUUUUAUUUUUGUCCUCACUGGCCUCCAAGUUUUCUAGGAUGAUGCAAUGUCCAGCCAUCAACACAUUUGUGAAGGAAUUUUUACUCCCCAAAAGAGCGCCCCCCCAUGGCAGGAGAAAAAAGUCCAUUUUUUCUUGUCCCCUAAGGUGAAAAUACAUAUUGUUGAGAUUCACGCCUAUACGCUUUGUCAUAAUGACACAAAAUUUGACAAUCACAUGUAUCUCAAUAAGAUCUACGAAAAAGUCAAUGCGCGCGUAUCUGUCAAAUGUACGGUUAAAGGGUUAUUCCGCAUUUUUUGCCGAUCCGCACACAUUGGAAUGUGGCUAACUCCUCCUAAGGCUUUCGUUCCACCGGCACCACAUUUGCUCAGGCCAAUCUACACCCCAUGGCCAUUAAAAGUUAUUCAAAUCAUGACGCUGCACCCCACGGUUAAGGUUCUAGGGGGCGCCAAAGACAACCCUAAAAUCCACAUAUUUAAAAGUCUUAUAACUUUUUAUUUUUGUCCUCACUGGCCUCCAAGUUUUCUAGGAUGAUGCAAUGUCCAGCCAUCAACACAUUUGUGAAGGAAUUUUUACUCCCCAAAAGAGCGCCCCCCCAUGGCAGGAGAAAAAAGUCCAUUUUUUCUUGUCCCCUAAGGUGAAAAUACAUAUUGUUGAGAUUCACGCCUAUACGCUUUGUCAUAAUGACACAAAAUUUGACAAUCACAUGCCUUGCCUGGUAUCAUUUUUUUUCAGCACAACCUCACCUGUGCGAAUUUACAGUUAUUUUAUCAUGUUGACAUACUGAAUUUACACAAUGGACCCAAAUUCACACACAAAACAUAAAAUCCGAGUGGAAAAAAGUAACAUUUUUACUGUGAAAACCACAAAUAUGUGUGAUGAACUGUUUUUAAAACUUAAACUUCAAAUAAAAAUUGUAAACUUCAAAACAUAUGCAAAUUUUUAAUAAAGAACAUAGUGAUUUACCUCUAUUUACAUCAAAAUGCAGGCAAUGGCCCAGGCGUUCUUUGUAAAAUUAUUUACAAAACACUGUAUAGUCUCACAAAUGUCACUUUUUAUUUAUGCCACUACAAAAAAACAUGAUGUAAAUGAUGCAUGAUGUAAAACAUGAUGUAAAAAACUUGUGUAGAUCCUCCUCUAUGUCAGUCCAUGUGUAAUUUUUCCAUAAUUCUUUGUUUUUUGCAGCAUUUUUGUUAGUGUAACUGCAGAUUGUGCUGACAGUGUCUAUGGCACACAAAAAAAAAAAUUAAAAUGCCUCAACAUGAACCCCUGGUGGUCUCUGAGGGUGAAACCUGCUAACUGCUGCAGCUCUGUCAGCUUCAGUCUCCCAUGCAGAGCUCUGAGCGCAUGUGUGGCUCUGCACCCUUAGCAGCGUUGCUAACUCCUCAGUAAGGAAAGCCUGCUUCAUGUCAGAGUCUCUAAACUCCAGAAGAAGUCGAUAAAAGUCCCUUUCUUUCUAAAAAAAAGUCGUUAGGGGGUCUGAAAAGUCAUUGAAUCUAACAACAAAGUCGCUAGGUUUGCAACUACGUGUCCCAGACUGCAUCCCUGCUGAGAGUCCCUCCCUCGCUUCUCAUGUUGCAGGAAGAACGUAAGCACCCGCCCCUUGUCAAUCAGUCACCAUAUAAUUUUGGAUUGGUUGUUGUGGUGAAGUUUUCCACCAAUAGGAGAGAUGUUGUGGUGUGUUUUUUUUUUUCUUUUGGCAAGCCUUUUCCGCCUGUAAGACCUGUCGCUAAUGUCUGCAUGCUAUGUUUUCCUGUCUCAUACAGCGCGAUCGAGCGCCGAACGUGAUCAAAAUAAGCAGAAAACAAGUAUCGCGGACAUAAUUUAUCAUAACUCUGGUUUUAUUUGGCCUAUCAACACAAUUUAAAAACUGGUAUAUAGGUUGAGGUCCUCACUUUUGAGAUAAGUUGAAACGGAGAGUCAACGAGGCUCCGUCUUGCAGCUACAUCCGGUUAAAUAUGUCAUGUGACUUGAACGCACACACAGACACACACACACGCACACACACACACACACAGACACACACACACACUCAGAGUCUGGUUUUUAGCACCUGCAAAAACAUGCUAUUUACAUAUUUGACAAGAAUGCAGAGGCUCCUUUUGCCCCUGAAAAAAAUCAAAUUUCAAACACAACUUGACUGGUCAUUUCUCCAAAAGACAACCAUGAAGCUCCAUCCAAACCUGAAGCAGGCAGUUGGUGCAUGUGUACAGUAACCUGAGGGGAGUGAGGUGAGUGCUUCUGAGGAGAACAUGAGCAGUGAAGAUUCACCUUGGAGCUAGAACAGAGACAUGCACAUGAUUAUACAGGGGCAGGGGCUCAAGUUUUUUCCAGUCGUUUAUACAAUAUGGAAAUUAAUGUGAAAUUAAAACACAAAGUAUUAAUAGAAAGGUAAUGACUGUCCUGUGUAGGUGACAGUGAUAUCCAAUAGGCUAGGCACUCACGAGGCUGGCUGUGGCAAGUGUAAGUGAAAGCAACACGCACUGGCAAGAAGAACAGCAAACGCCGAUGAAGGAAAAGGGUCUUUGCAGUGAUGGGCGUUACCAGAGAGGGCGAUGGCCAGAGGACACAAAUGGGACGGGGAGGCAGCACGUUGGGGGGGGGACGCGACAUGGCUCGGGCCCGCCAGUGCCCCAACGGGGUCCUAGUUAGGGCCCGAGCGUAGCUGCUAAGCAGCUGCGAGGCCCUAUUAUUCCUGUAGUGGUUUUUCUUUGUUUCUUUUUUCUUUUUCCUCCCCUUUGAACUGGAAAAUGGCCCACUUCCCACUGGCGAAAACUCAUGAAAUUUGGCAGGAUGACCGGGCCUGGUGAAAAAUUUGAUAUUCCGAAGUCGCCCAAACAAUAAAAUGCAAAAUGGCUCCAUAGCGCCCCCUAAGGUGAAAAUUCACACUAUUGACUGUCACGCCUUUACGCUUUGUCAAAAUGACACAAAAAUUGACACACACAUGUAUCUCAAUAAGAUCUACAAAAAAGUCAGUGCGGGCGUAUCUGUCAAAUGUACGGUUAAAGGGUUAUUGCGCAUUUUUUGCCGAUCCGCACACAUUGGAAUUUCGCUAACUCCUCCGAAGGCUUUUGUUCCACCGGCACCACAUUUGCUCAGGCCAAUCUACACCCCAUGGCCAUUAAAAGUUAUUCAAAUCAUGACGCUGCACCCCACGGUUUAGGUUCUAGGGGGCGCCAAAGAUAACCCUAAAAUCCACAUAUUUAAAAGUCUUAUAACUUUUUAUUUUUGCCCUCACUGGCCUCCAAGUUUUCUAGGAUGAUGCAAUGUCCAGCCAUCAACACAUUUGUG